CCUCUAAGUGAUAGUCUAAAACUUUCGGUAAACAUCACGUUUUCAAAAACGAAUAAAGAACUGUGGUUAAGGUGUUGAAUUGCCAUAGGUCACCUUAAAACUACAUAGCCACAGAGCUAUGCCUGUUUUUUCCUUCCUGGGAAUCAUUCCCAGUGUGAUAAGACGAAUUAUUAUUUUGGAUCUGGAUUCCCAAACAUCUACAGUUUUCAGAGGCAGUUUCUAAGACUAGUCCAGAUAACUCUAACACCUAAGGGGACCAGGUGGGACUGGUUUGAUCAAUCUCCAGGGAAGGAUGGAACAGGUUCAGCAACUCAUUUGCAAAUAGCCACUAAGGCUGCUGGGAAGCUGCCAUUUUGGAGUCCUGGGAAAGGUUAAGCGAGAAUAAGAACCAGGUGGAGGAAUCAUUUGAAACCAGUGAGAGGGCCAUGGUACACACAGAGCCAGGAUGAGCUCAGGUCCCUGGACAGAACUAUAAGUACAGUAUAGGUUUGUUCCCAUGAAAUGGGAACGUUCACUGUCCAAGACUGAAAAGAACUGUAACUUCCGAGGGGCAUUUUAGCAGUCACCAGCUGAGGGGAGUAAGAGGAAAAGAGCUCUGUCUUUGCCUUGUUCUCAAAGCCCUGGGAAGCGGUGUGAACCAAGGAAAGGUAAACAGAAGCAGCAAAGAACCUGAGCAGUCAGCUUUGAUGUGACUAGGAAGGGAUGUGCCUAAGAAAUGUGAGAGAAAGCGUGUAUGUUUGUGUGUAGCCACGCAGGCACGCAUGCGCACGUGCGUAUGUGCUUGCGUGCCUGCGUGUGGUGCAUGCGUGCGUGCGUGCGUGAAAGAGAGGUUGAGAGAGACAGGGAGGGAUGGGUCUUCGUUACCUCAGCCUACAGCCCACCAUGAAAUUUCUCAGGAAGAUCUUGUUUCAGGACCUGGAGCCUCCCAGUCUUUCCAGAAAGACCUGAAGAUUGAAGACCUCUGGGUUGUUUCUAGGCAAGAGGAAGAUUCUUUUUAGCUGGGCUUCUUCAGGAAGUUCAAGAUAUUGAUAGAUUUUCUCUGUGGGUCAUUGACUUUGCCUUAGGAGGAGUUGCCUCACCCCACCUUCAGGGGAUCUUCAGGAAGGGCGUGGGCUCUGGGUAACAGCAGAGACAGUGGCUCAGCGCCUAGUGAGCUAGGACUGGUCUGUGAGUAGGCGCAUCCUCCCAGGGCAUCUGCUGAAACUCUGAUGGCAGUGGUAACUCCCCAGGUCCUGAGGACAGUCUACUUGGGCAAUACACAACUUUUACUGAGGGAGCCACCAUCACCAAGGACAGUUGCAGAAACCGAGGAAUCAAGGAAAUCAAGCCGUGUGCUUCAGGCAGAGGCCCAGCUCCUAUCUACUGACAAAGGUGGGGAGCUGACAUCCCUCUAUAAAGAGAUGAUUUCCCCUUGUCAAAUUAUCAACUUCCUCAAGGAGCAGCAGAUACAAGAAAGGGUAACCUAAUCGGGAUGUGAAAUCAGAUUGCUGUGUUUUAGUCCCUUGAGAUAAUCCCUCUGCGUGUGAUUAAGUGACAACUAGUUACUAGGUUUGUGCAGUACUAUUAAUAAUGGGUGUUUCUCCUAUUGUGAGUCAAGUUGAACAUCUUUUUGUAUGUGUAGGAGACAUUUGAAUUUCUUUGUGAACUCUGUUUUCCUAUAGAGUUACUGGCCUUUUUAUUCUUUAUUUUCUGAAACUUUUUAUAUUUGAGGGCUGUUUGCACUUUGUACUGUAAGCUGAAAGUGAUUUUUCCCCACUUUGUUAUUUGUCUCCUUACUUUGUUCAUGACACCUUUGCUAUGUUGAAGCUUUUAAAUGUUUGUGUUUGAUUCAUUUUUUUAUUGGAUAUUCUCAAAUUGAUUUUAACUAAGAAUUUGUAUGUUUUAGAUAUUAACUAUAUGCAUGUUUUAGAUUUUUAUUUACUUAUUUUUGUAAUUAUAAUAUAAAGUUUAUGUGUCAUGGUCUGAAUAUUAUGAAUAUUUCUGUUUAUGCCUUAUGAGUUUUGUGUCAUGCUUAGGAAGGCCUUCUCAACUUCGAGAUGGUUUUUAAAAAUGUAUCAAUAUUUUUGACUAUAGACUGUAGAAUGUCAAAUUAAAGGUUGUGCAUAUGUGAAGAAUAUUUAUUUUGCACAGCAAAAUAAAGAUCUGGCACUAGGAAAGUCAGAGCAUUAAUUUUGUAGCCUAACAAUGUCAUCAGGGACUCAGUCUUUACAUCUUUUUGUUUUGCAAUCUUGAGCGCAAUAGUUUAUCCUCGUAGGCUGAAUCUUCUGGCCUCAGAGAGCCACCACUGUUCCAGGUAUCACAUGCAAACAAUUACAGACAUAGGGAAAGGAGGUACCUCCUCAGAUUUCAGGUUUUGAGAAUAUGAAAAUCAUUCUCAAGAAGCCCUGUGGCAAGUCUUAAGUCUAAAUUGUGUCCUAUGCACAUUUCCAGCGUAAUCACUGGCAUUGGAAUUUAAAUUGGCAAAAUGACUUAAUGAAGAUUUAACCCUGGGACUUGAGAAGAGCCUAAGGCAAAUGAUCAUGAGCAAGAAAGAAGGAAGGAAUCAUUUGUGUGGUUUUGCAGAUUUACUCUGCAAAACCAGAUUUACUUCUAAUAUAUGAAUCUUUGAUCCACCUAAAAUAU
Molecule: long non-coding RNA, 2622 nt
Organism: Bos taurus (domestic cattle)
Lineage: Eukaryota; Metazoa; Chordata; Mammalia; Artiodactyla; Bovidae
Source: Ensembl